CCACACCAGCAGCAUAUGGAAAUUCCUGGGCCAGGGGUUGAAUCUGAGCCGCAGCUGUGGAAAUGCCAGAUCCUUUUAAAACCACUGUGCCAGGCCAGGGAUUAAGCCUGAAGUGUCUCAGCAGCUAUCUGAGCCAAUGCCGUCACAUUCUUAACCCACUGGGCCACAGCGGGAACUCCUUCCUUACAUUAUUAUUACAUUAUUAUUACUAAAAGUAAACUCUUUUCCCGGAGCACUUAGCAUGUGUGGGGCAGAAUGCUAAGCACAGCACAUGAGUUAUCUCACUUUGUCCUCCCAAGAAACCCAGAAGAUUGGCAUGAAUUCCGUUAACUUAAUACAGGUGGGUUAGUGGAAGAAUCAGAUUGAUUAUAUAAGGCAGCCAAGGUCCCUCAGCUGGUAAUGUGGGAAACCAGGAUUCAUACCCAAUCCUCUGCAAUCAUUCCACUCCCUCAUCGGGGAAAGGAACGGAGGGAAGGAGGGAAUUUAUGGAACCUCGCCUUGUCAGUCCUGGUGCUGGUUGCGUGCCUUGCUGAUCGUGUUCAAUCUUCACAGCCUCACAAGAUUCUUGUCUCUGGAUGUCCCUCAAACUAUCACAGUGGUGAAACUCUCUCACAGACUUGUCUCAUCUUUCAGCAGUAGGUAUUCAGAUCUAGGUAUGUAUACUCAAAGUUGGGGGGUAAAUGUUAAUCAGAUACACGUUGAUUUUCAAGCCAUUAAAACAGAUGACGGCUAAAUAUAUAAGGGUUAUAUGUAUUUUCACCUAGAAGUAAAACUACCAGAGCUCUAAACCAAAAGACAAGUUUGGGUCCCAGCUAUGCAUAUGGGUUUUGAGGUUUCGCGUCAGUUCAGUUUUGAAAAUCCAGACAAAGUAAUUUGUAAAUAAGUAAAAUAAUAAUUUGGUAGGUUGACUUUUUCACUUUUCAACCAGUUUUACGUUCCUUAGCUACAAUCUGUAUAUUAGCAAAUGACACAAUGAGGAGUUCUUGUUUUGGCUCAGUAGGUUAAAGACCCAACAUUGCCUCUGUGAGGAUGCAGGUUCAAUCCCUGGCUUGGCUCCUUGUGUUAAGGCAGCUUGGAUCCAGUGUUGCCAUGGCUGUGGUGUAGAUCCCAGCUGCAGCUCCAAUUUGAUCCCUGGCUUGGAAACUUUCAUAUGCCGCUGGUGCAACUGUGAAAAGAAAAAGAAAAAGAAAGAAAAUAACAUAAUGAUUGGUAGCGUGAGUUUACGAAUGAUAAUAAAUCCAAGAAAGAAAGGGAGAGAGGAAGGGAG
RNAcentral lists this long non-coding RNA (1267 nucleotides) under Sus scrofa (pig). Its description in RNAcentral is "lncRNA (ENSSSCG00070028769.1)". Lineage: Eukaryota; Metazoa; Chordata; Mammalia; Artiodactyla; Suidae. The record is from RNAcentral.